Molecule: long non-coding RNA, 2591 nt
Organism: Homo sapiens (human)
Lineage: Eukaryota; Metazoa; Chordata; Mammalia; Primates; Hominidae
Exons: 2
Source: RefSeq, a predicted model, not a curated record
GUCAGUGCUGUGCCUGCAGUCCAGGCGGGAGUAGAAAUCCUGGGCCCAUCUUACCUCCGACCUCAUUUCCUCCUCUGUAAUAAUGUGGGGGUGGGGGAAAGUUCUGGUCAUCAGCCCUAGCAUUCCAUGGUUCAUUUCCUCAUCAGUGAUGGAAAAUCACCAAGCAAGAGAACAGGAUGGAGAAUAACCGGAUGGGUGCAAUCGGAGGUGCUAUUUCAGGAGCUGGCCAUUCUUCAAGUCAGAAGGCCUGAGAGAGGAGCUGCCCAGGUGGUCUUCAUGGGGCUGUGCGGCCAGUCAUCCCCCACAGGUUGACAAUCCUUGCGUACUUCAUCCUUGUUGGAUCCUCUGUAUCCCUGACGAUGAGCAACUGUGAGGCCCGUUUCAGCACUGAGUUCCAGUCAGGAAAACAUCCACCCACCCACCACACGCUCACACUUACACACACAUUCACACAUGCACACACGUUCUGGCUCCGAAAAAGAAAAAAAAAAAGCAAUUUAAAAUAAUUCUGAUCCUUUGCUUAUUUCCACAAACUCCAUGAAAAUUGUACAUUGUCCAAGCAACAUUUCUUAAUAUUCUCUUUUUCUCUCAUAUCCAUUUUCCUUACUGCUGUCUCCACCUUUCUCUUCCAAACUCCCUGUUAAAAUCCCUGCCCCAGCGAACUUUUAUUCAAUUUUGUGGAAUGGAGGCUGCUCUGAUUUAAAUUAAAAAAAAAAAAAAUCCCUACUCCAUGUCCCAGAUCCCUAGUUGUUUUUUGUUUUUUGUUUUCCUGAGACAGGGUCUUGUGUCUUCCAUGCUGGAGUGCAGUGGCAUGAUCAUGGCUCACUGCAGCCUCAACCUCCUGGGCUCAAGUAAUUCUCUUGCCUCAGCCUCCCCAGUAGCUGGGAGUUCAGGUAUGUGCUACCAUGCCUAGCUAAUUUUUUUCUUUUAUUUUGUAGAGACACGGUCUUGCCAGGUUGCCCAGGCUGGUCUAGAACCCCUGGGCUUAAGUGAUCCUCCUGCCUCGGCUUCCCAAAGUGCUGGGAUUACAAGUGUGAGGCACUGCACCCAGGCUGGAUCCCUGCAUUUUUACAGAUUUAGCAUCACAAAAGUCUAAACAAUUAGACUGACUAAGGCAGAACUGCCCUUAUGACAGCAGACAUAAGAAGGAAAAGGCCAAAACACUGUGUUAAAAAUUAUCCAAAUGUGAGGAAAAGGCAAAGAGAGUAGGUGUGCCUUUUUAGUGUCUAAGCUGCCUGCCCAAGGGGCAUCUGAUGCUCUCAGGCAGGAGUCCACAAAUUUUUUUUUGUAAAAGAUCAGAUAGUAAAUCUUUUCAGCGUGAAGAGCAUGAGGUCUCUGUCACAAAUACUCAACCACCAUUACAACAUGAAAGCAGCCAACAGACAACACAUGACAAAUGAGUGUGGCUGUGUUCCAGUAAAUCUUGAUUACAAAAACAGGCAAGAGGCCAGAGCUGACCCAUGGGCCAUAGUUUGCUGACCCCUUCUGUAAAGGAAAGUAUUUUUGUUUGACUUGCUGUUUACCAUUGAUUGAACACAAGGCUCUGUAGAGUUACUUGUUAACUUGCAGAAGAUUGAUGAGUGGCAAGUAAUUUUUAUUCACCAGAAUAUAAAAUUAUUUCUGUUCAGUAGAAAAGAUAAACCCAACUGUUAUAUUAUUGUCCUGUUUUGUAUGUAACUUUGCUUCAUUUUUUAACAAAUUAAUAUUAUUGCCCUAAUUUGUAUAUAACUAUGCUUCUUUUAAAAAUAUAUAUUUUUUAAUAAAUUUGAGACAGGGUCUCACUAGGUUGCCCAGGCUGGUCUUGAACUCCUGGCCUCAAGUGACUCUCCCACCUUAGCCUACUGCAUAGCUGGGAUUACAGGCACAAACCACUGCAUGCAGCUAACUUUGCUUCUCAUUCCAGCACUUUUUAUUCCACUGAUUAUAUGUAUAUGUAUAUCUGCAUCAUCUCUCUCUCUCUCUCUCUCUCUCUCUCUAUAUAUAUAUAUAUGGAAAUAUCUCUCUCUCUCUAUAUAUAUAUAUGGAAAUAUAUAUCUCAGUCUCUCCUAUCCUCCUUUAAUCAGUUUUGCUAUCCUGUCAAUUCCCCCAACGAGUGUGAUGUUGUGAAAUAUAUAUUUGUUCUUCAUCUCCUGUUUCCUGACAUACAGCUUUUAAAAACCCUUGGAAUCUCUGGAAUAAUAAGAGUGUCUUUUGCAUGCUAAUAGAUGACUGCUGGCUGGCAGCCCCAAUGCAGUAGCUUCAUGAUGGGGUUUGUCACAGGAAAGACCAAGGCAGGAUUGGAGACUUGAGACUGUUAGCCCCACUCCCCAACCACUGGAGGGAGUGGAGGGGCUGAAGGUUGUGUCAGUCACCAAUGGCCAAUGGUUCGGUCAAUCAUGUGUACGUAAUAAAGCCACUCUUAAAAACCCAAAAAGGACAGGGUUUGGAAGGGCUCCCAGAUAGCUGGACACAUGAAGGUUCCUGGAGGGUGGUGCCCCAGAGGGGCAUGGAAGCUCCACACCCCUUCUCACAUGCUUUGCUCUGCGCAUCUCUUCAUCUGGUGUUCAUCUGUAUCCUUUGUAAUAUCUUUUAGAAUAAACUGGUAAACUUAA